Prunus avium (sweet cherry) is the source of this 116-nucleotide non-coding RNA. The record is from RefSeq and is a predicted model, not a curated record. NCBI's taxonomy places the organism in Eukaryota, Viridiplantae, Streptophyta, Magnoliopsida, Rosales, Rosaceae.
ACGACGAGACGAUGCCCGCGACCACAUCUCCUCUCCUCUCAAGUAGGUUUUCAUAGUUAUGAUUUCUCUGUCUCACUCUCAUCUGGAUCUCUGUGGAUGGCUUUCUCUCAACCUCU